UUGUUUUCAUUCUGCAGUGACUAGAAACGUCGGGGGGGGUAGGGUAUACUCAACGCAAAUGUCAUGAUUAAUCCUCCUUAGGCUUAGGCCUACCUCUCGACUUUUGUUACGAACUUACACGAAGCAGCUUUUUUCUUUUUGUGGAUUUGUCUUUUGUUCCUAUGCAAAGUGCACGAGCAGGACGCAUGAUCCAGACCCUCGCGAAAGUUCACUUUUCCCACUGCAUGCCUGACAUUCCUUGUCCUAUUUUCUGAACAAUGGUGUCGACUUGGUCAGGAAUUUUCGCCUUCAUUUUGGGCAUCGGUCACGAGCGUACACGCCGGUGCUCUGCAGGGACGGGGGACUGCAUCAAAUUUCAGGAUCUCUCCUGUCAGUGAAUGCCACCAUUCUUGCUAUCUAGAUUACGUGGGCAUAAAUGGCGAGCAGUGUGGCGCCAAGUGAUAGCCAUUUUUCCCACAAAGGACCUGCAAUGAUGCCAUGAUGUGGGAGGGGCAUUGCCUUUGGCAUCUGUCGGUCGCAACACAACACGGAUUUGACAUCUUGCAGAGGACAAAAGAAGAUAAAGGCGCUCCUUCCCGGGAAAAGCUGCGUUGUCUUGUCGAGCAGCGAACAGGAUAAACUCUUAGGAGCGAUGGAAAAGAAAAUGCAAAUACCCCGAGGAACAAUCGUCAAGAAAAACAGCGGAGGCUGGCCGCG
Molecule: long non-coding RNA, 696 nt
Organism: Acanthaster planci (crown-of-thorns starfish)
Lineage: Eukaryota; Metazoa; Echinodermata; Asteroidea; Valvatida; Acanthasteridae
Gene: orc1
Source: RefSeq, a predicted model, not a curated record